AGGAAAAAUAGUUUAAGAAAAAUAAGUAAUUGUGACUUAUUAGUUGAGGAUUCCUCUUUUUCCA
Molecule: transfer RNA, 64 nt
Filed under: Flustra foliacea (greater hornwrack)
Lineage: Eukaryota; Metazoa; Bryozoa; Gymnolaemata; Cheilostomatida; Flustridae
Description: tRNA-His
Source: RNAcentral